RNA transcript from Homalodisca vitripennis (glassy-winged sharpshooter), 6224 nucleotides. RefSeq lists it as uncharacterized. The transcript is spliced from 2 exons. The record is from RefSeq and is a predicted model, not a curated record. Lineage: Eukaryota; Metazoa; Arthropoda; Insecta; Hemiptera; Cicadellidae.
UCUUUUAUAACUCUAGUUCUAUUAGUGCUAUAGAGCUGAAAGAUAGCUCAUUUCAAAGAGGAUUUUAUGGGCUUUGUUUUAUGCCAAAUUAGGAACACUUAAGGCCAAAAAAUAAAUUUUUAGUGAAACUCAAAAAAUUGUUUUUGAAAAAUGUUUGAGUUAGUAGUGUUUUUAAUUUAAAAAAUGUAUAUAUGUUAUUGUGCAUGAUUUUGUGAGUAUACCACACACAUUUCAGAUCGGGACCAUGAAGGGAUCAGGAGAUAUGUUACAAAUACAUUUUUGUGAUGUCAAAACAUUUUCAUCGUUAUUGGUGUAGCAUUCUGUAAAGUCUGCUUUUUAGAUAUAAUUACGAGUGGGUAAAUCUGUGUUAACUCCAUUUUGUCAGUUUUUUAAACCAAAAAGAACGGAAACCAAUUUAUUAUAAUAGUAAUUUUUUUUAAUAGUUAACCAUAAUUUAAAAAUAAAACUAAAAUAUUUAGUUUUAAAUAUUUUGUCAUGUAAUUCUAUUGUGUUAUAAAUGUUGGUUCCUAAUGUGGAAUCAAUAUUGAGUGCCCAUGUUUGAGUAAUUGUAUAAGGAUUGAUUUUGUGUAUCAUGCUUGAUCUGCUGAUAUUGAUACUUGAACAAACAUGUCCCUUUCAUGUCCUAACAUGAAGAAGUGAUGAUAGUGUUCCAUUGUUGUGCUAGCUGUUUCAGUCUGUCUUUUGCUUUCAGAGAGAGAACAAGUGCAAAACUAGUGAAGUUUCUUUUUGUGAUCUCACUUUAAUCACUUUAAUACUAAAUGUUUGAUAUUUACUCAUUAAUUUAGUUGGUUAUGUUUGGUGUUAAAAAACUAAACUGUUUCAGCUAUUUAGUAACAAAUAAUUGUGUUUUUAAGUUUAGUGAACUGAUUUGAAUUGAAGGAAUUUUGGGUGCUGAGAUGACCAAUGCUAUUGAGGAGGAAUCGGGUCGAGAAUUUCACCGUAAGGAAUACUUCAGUCAUCCAAAAUGUCUAAUGGGCCAUUAUAUGUAAAAUAAGAGUGCCUGUAUAUACGUUCACAGAGGGGUGUUUUAGUUUUAUUCACAGUGCUGUACGUUGUGCAAAAGUAUUUAUUAUUUAAUCACAAGUUACCUUAGACUAGUGUAGUUGUAACGAUUAUUUACUAACUGCAGGUAAAGUGUUUGGCUUUCCUAACAGAACGGGGUGGUGGUUACGUGAGACAUAGAAGAUGUUGGGGUGGAGGUGUUGAAAACUGUGACGCCACGACAGAGCAGCUCCUAAGAAAAACUCAUGGAUGUGAAGUCUAUCUGUAUGAAAGAAGCUGUGAUUACUAGAGAGGCUUAUCAGAGCGUUGGUGUCAGUUUUCCUAUUAGUACAAAUAAUUCUAACCGAAAGAUGCUUUUUUGACCUUCUAUAUUGUUUGUGAUUUAGAUUUAACAAAAAUGUGAUUCAUUAAGAAACUUUUGCAUAAAAUUUGUUUAUGACAAUGAAGGUUGUGAGAUAUGGUACUACUUGAAAGGUUUAUGAAAUUGAAAUCAGAGCUGAAUGACUUACAAAUAUAACUUACCCAGCUCUUAAGUACUUAUUUUUAUAAAUGAUUGAUCGAUUCUACAUCUUCAAGUACAGUUACUAAUUAGUAUUCAUAUCCUGUAUAGAUGUGUUGUUUUGUAUCCUAAGGUUAAUAAAAAUCUUAAGGCUUGCUUGGCUUAUAACCCAAUACAUGCUCUGUUACUGUACUUUGCAUUGUUGAUUUCAAAUGCAAUAACCAUCUUUUUAGAAUAUAUUCUACGAGUUUGAAAAAUGUAGUCAUGAUCAAGCCAGUUUUUUUCUUCUUAUGUGUUAUUUGUUGCCUACACUUCUGUAAGACAGUUUUAUAAAAUCCUCCCAACCAAUCAUAAAAAAAUCUACUGUUGCCUACACUUCUGUAACACGGUUUAUCAAGUUCUCCAUGCAAUCGUGUAAGUUUACUUUUUUAAGACAAUGCUUUUAAUUGUAUUCCAAACAUUGCCACAAAAUGUAUAGUUUAUUUCUUGUUCAUCAAUUUAUUACAAAAGAAGAAAUAAAUUAAAACUUGUAUUACAACACUAUAAACACAGUUUUUUUCUGGCGUCUUUGUUUUCUGGGUUUUCUAAACCAAACUAUUGGUACUUGACUAUUUCAAAGUAAUUUCUUAGUGAUGUCACUAUUUCUUGUUAUAACACAGAAAAUCAAAAUAUUAACUUGAAUAGGCACUAUUGGAAAUGUCAGUUUCCGUGGUGUGGAAGAUACUUAGUAUGAAGCAGUAGCAUGACACAAACGACCUGUUUGAUUUUGUGUUUUGUUUUAAAAUUGUAUUUUUGCUGACAACCACAAUAAUUGUUUACACUUGAACUUUAUCAAUGUAAUCAUUGUAUAUAUUCACGGCAUGAUUUGGGUGGUAGUGGCAUAAAAUAAUUCAUUAAGGAACAUGCAAGUCCAACUGCACCUACCAGUUACCAGUCACAGGCUUGGUCUGUGUUUUAUGCAUGUUUUCAUUCUAGCUUCUAUUAUACAGGUCACAACAAUUUAAUUUUCUCCAAGCAAUUAAUGACACGCAUCACAGUAUGUUUUAUUAUUGGGCUUGAUAUAAUUUUGACCACAUCAUUUUUAAUAUGAAUUUACAGCUAAAAGCAUGUUUGUACGUGAGGCUUGAAAUCUUAAUAUGAUGGUGUGAUUUGUCACAUCAGUUGAAGCUAAUUACAUUACUAUAAAUUUCAUCUAUUAAAAACAAGGAGAACGAAUGAGAAAAUUCAUUAAUGUAUGUUUAAAUAAAAUUAUAACUCCUUGUUUAGUGUAAGGGACUAUGAUUGAUCAUGUUGUUAAUUUUAAGAGGUAACACAAAAAUAUUGAAAACAUAAUAUGGUACCAAUAUUUUGUUGUUUUUAACUGUAGUGUCAACACAUUGUGUAUACAAAAAUAGGAUCUAUUUUUAUCAGAGUAAAUAUUUAUGAUAAUAGUAUUAGUAUUAAGGUAGUAUUGUAGGUAUUAAACAUACAACAUGGUUUGUUUCUCACUUUUAAUAAUUAAAAACUCCCAACAUUUCAUAUAAAGAAAUAGUGUCUAUUUUUACCAGAGUUAAUAUUUAUUUAUGAUAUUAAGUAUGUAUAGUAAUAAAGUGAGUCAAACACUAGUUAAACAUAAUAGAGGAAGUUUUCUCCAAGUGAAAUAAGGUACAAAUAUUUUAUUUAGAUUUGUUUUAAUUUUAGAAUUCUCUUGUUUUAGGAGAAAUCGGUGAAUAAUUUGUUUUGUUCCAAACAUAAUACAUGUAUUUCUAAUUGAACAUAAUAAAUCUUGCUGAUGUUUUAACAACUAAUUAGCUUCUAAAUAUUGUUAUCAAAACUGAGGAGGUCAUAAUUUCUUGUGAUCUGUUUUAUUUUUUAAGUUACCAAAAUAACCUGAAUUGUGUGUGCUGGUUGUCAUCAGAGAUUUUCAGUCAGAGGUUUUAGUGCUAUUUAACCCAUGUUCAAUUAAUUAUAGCAAAACACUGUGACAUGUGGUUUGUACUGUAAUUGGUAAUACAGAACAAGUACUUUUUUUAAUACCAUACAAUACACCAGUCUUAUUGGCUAGUAUCUACAUUUAAAAACAGUUUAGUAACAAAGUAAUAAAAUCAGUAAUCUAAGUUCCUAUGUCGGCUUUAUGUGCCUUACGCACAAACCUAAAUUUAAAUAAGUUUAAUAAUACAAUAAACCUGUUUAAUGUUUGAUAACUAUACCAGAGUUGUUCCUAGGCUGACAUUUAAACCAUUGUAAUAUGAGAAUUGCUCUAUCAUAUAUUAUAAUAACUAAUCAGUAAUUCAGUAUUUUAAAUAAUAUGAAGUUAAUGUAGCAAUCACAUCCGAGGAAAUUUAUCCAAAUUUCACAUAAAUUCUUCACUAUUCAGUCUAAUGAUGAGAUGAAGAUCAAUACUAUUUGAGACCCGCAAAUAUAAUUAUAUUUAUCUUAAUGUGAAUAACAUUGUUAAUACAAUUAAACAUUUGUGUUGAUAAAGUACAAGGUUAGUUUACUGUCUAAUUUUUCUUCUCAACUUCAAUCGCCUAACAAUAGAGAUGCAUCAGUCUUGGACACCUGGUCGAAUCCCUCUGCGCUAAAAAGUAGUUCCUUUAUCAUAACUUGCCUAUUGUGAAUGUUUCUGCCUGGUACUCAAGGGGUCCAGGUCCCGAUUGUCUGGGUCUAGGUCGGGUACUCUUAGGGCACUUUCAGGUAGAACCUAUCUGGCUGAUUGUUUAAUCUGAGCCAGUCUACAGUUUGGUAUCUUAAGUCACAUGUAAAAAAGACUGAAUUUCCUACACGAAAUUGUAAUUGUAAAUAUUAUAGUUUAAAAAUAUAUAUUUUACAAAUAAGAUGUUUUUAUUUUAGUCAUUACAAAGACUGUUGCAUUUUUUCUCUGUAAAAAUGCCCUAAAAGUUAAUUUUUUAGGUGUUUCGAUUUUACUGCAGAAGUAAUAUGAAAAACACUCAAUUAAAAGUUUGUGUAUAUUUAUAUACUACACUCACGCAUUUUACACAAUCACUAAUUACAUAAACACACAUUCAUUUACUCAUGUUAAACAAAAAAUGUAAAAUUAUCAGGUUAAUUGGAAACAUAAAAAUAAGGUUAUAAUAUACAUCAGAUAUAACAAAAUAGUAACUGUGAUCUAGUGGGAACUACUUGAAAGUGUUUUUUAUCCAUUCCGUGAGAUCACAUUCAUAUACAGGUGAAAGAUAAUUCAUCUCAAAACAUUUCUGUGAAAACUGCUUAGCGCCAUAGCGCUUCUCUCAUGGCUAUCGGGAGUACAAGUAGGCAAGUAGUGCGCUUUUGAAUUCAUUACGGAUUACUAGUCAAAGGGUUAAAUGGUUUUAUAUGUAUAUAGACUGGUGCAUUUUAUAGUAUGACAGGUACUUAUAUUUAACGCUAACAAAUUGGAGCUGUGACUUUAGAAAAGACAAUGAUACGUUGAAAUACAUAAAAACUGUUAAAGCAUGAAAAUGUAUAGGGAUGGUUAUGAAAUCAUUAUACUUUGCACUAACUCAAUAAUGUUUUUAGUAUGUUCAUAAUGUGAGUGUAUCUUCUAAGAAAUAAUUAUUCGGUUUUGAAUAAUUUGAAGGAUUUUUAUAAAUAUAGUAUUCAAAUCCUAUUGGUUCAAUUUUAAGAUUUGUGUUCAAAAUAUUUAUUUUCAACUAAUUAUUGUACCAAGUUCUUUUAAUGUGGGAGGACGUCGAAGCCUAGAUUCAUAAUUAAUUAUAAAGUUUCAUAAUAUUAUCUCUUUCAGUAUUUUUGUUAUAAUUUGAAUUUAAAAUACAGGACCAAAUACUAAAUCUUUUCAGUCCCAGUCUCUAUUCUCUAGUUUAUUUAUUUUAAUGACAAUCCAUAAUAAUAAGUUUAAAUUAUUAUUUUAAUUCCACAAAUAUGAUGACAUGUUUAUUUUUAGAUAAUAUAAUAUGUACAUUUUCUCACUCCACAGUUUUAAGGAUCUAUUUAUAAUUUGACUUGUAUUUUGAGGCAGGUGUGGGUAGACAGUUGGGGUUUGAUACUUUGUUCUGAGACAAAGUAAACUUAAAAGAGUCUCAGAAUUAAAAACAAAAUACAUACAAGUGUAUGGAUUUUCUGUUUAAAUAAUUUUAUUAUUGUAAGUAAUUGAAUUGAAUAAGUUUACAGAAUUUCAUAUAACCCCUUCCAUCUUUUGCUGAUAAAUAUUAAAUAUCUGUAAAACUCGGAAAGUAGUAUUAUUACUUCAAUACUAAUAUAACAAAAUUUUAAAAUUCAUGAAAGUUUUCUUUUGACAAUUUAAUCAGAUGUUUGAAAUCAUUAUUAUAAUAUUGGAUUUUGUAGUAUUUUAGAUGCUACUGAAAGUAUACUUAAUUAAUACAAAUAUACUCAAGAGAUAAAUUAAAUAACACUAUUUUCAAUAAGAAUAAAUAUUAAUUGGAAACAAUAUAAUAAGCUAGUUUUCUCAGAGUACUCAAUUUAGUGGUUAAAUUAUUUCUACCUUUAACAUGUGUAUAGAACAAACAUAUUAAAAGCUAUUGAGAUUACUGAAAGGAGUGUAAAUCAGGAGGUAAAGGUUUGGUGAUAGAGAGGACUUCAAGAGGUGUAUUUGUGAUCUCAACAAUCUGUUCCCACACCUGUCUGUCACUAGUGUUCAUUGCAUUAAGAAGUGUAUGAUUUAAUAAGCUGUUAUGUGAUGUAGCUUUUGUUAAUAUUUUAUAACUGUAAUGUGGUUAAAUAAAUGAAAAGGAAAUUACUUUAA